UCUGGGACCUCACAGGCGAUGUGACGUGUGUGACGUGUCGGGAUGUCCAGCAGCAAAUUGUUAGUACAAGAUGUUGAACACAAAUUAUUGCUAGAAAUUUCGACAUUAUCAAGAUCGGUUCUGAUUGGAAGUGAUGGGCCACCGGCGUCGGCAACAUCUGGAUGGGUGGGAGGCGUGAUUGGAGGUUAUGGAGCAUAACGUCCUUUUCUUUUGUUUAUCUUCACUAUCCUGCAUGGUUUAUCGCCGAAGAUCAACUAUAUAACUCCGAAGCAAAAUUUCCAACUUGAAGCCCCAGUCGUGCUCGCGGCCAGCGUCUCCGAAACACUUCUUAUCUAACUUCACACAUAUCUCGAAAA
This is a long non-coding RNA of Manduca sexta (tobacco hornworm), 356 nucleotides long. RefSeq lists it as uncharacterized. The transcript is spliced from 2 exons. The record is from RefSeq and is a predicted model, not a curated record. NCBI's taxonomy places the organism in Eukaryota, Metazoa, Arthropoda, Insecta, Lepidoptera, Sphingidae.